This is a long non-coding RNA of Vitis vinifera (wine grape), 4841 nucleotides long. RefSeq lists it as uncharacterized. NCBI's taxonomy places the organism in Eukaryota, Viridiplantae, Streptophyta, Magnoliopsida, Vitales, Vitaceae. The transcript has 2 exons. The record is from RefSeq and is a predicted model, not a curated record.
ACCGAAAAAACUUAAAACGUUUGUCUUGUUCACCUUCUCCACUACACACUAAAAUCCAAAAAGAAAAAAAAUCUCCAUUUAUUUUUCUCCAUUUCAAAACCCAAAUCUAGAAAAACCCUAACCUCUUCGAGUCUCUCUUUCUCCCUACCUUCGUCCAUGUCUCUUCUGCUACCUCUCACACCUACAACUAGCAUGCUCUUUCUCUCUUUUGUUUCCUAUGACAAGGAGGCCUACAACCAAGGAGUGGAAGAUGGGAAAGGAAUUUUGGAUCACGAUGAAAAUGAAUCAUGGGUAGAUCAAUGUCACUUCUUUCUUUGUUUCUCUGUCUAUAGGUUUGUCUGCAACUCAGACCACAACUUGUUCAAUUUCUCCUAUUCUUCACACUAAUCGGGUACUUUCUUUGCCAAAACCCUACUUUAUUUUGCAAUUUAUGCUUAAAUUUAAAGCAUCUACGGAAUAAUGCUCAUUGAGUUUUGUAAAUUGAGAGUUGAGAAUCGUAUAAGGAAUCCUGGUGUUCAUAAUUUGAUACCCAAACGCCUGUUGGUCAAGUUAUUACAUCAUGUUUUAGUAUUACUAGAAACAACAUAUCAAAAUUUUGAAAUUUGGUUUUAAAUAUGUUGGAACGAUGUGUCUUUUUGUUCUAUUGCUUCGGUAUGAGGUAAUGAGGUUUGCACUCUUUAUGAGUCUGUUUGUGUGUUAAACUAUGUAGAGUUUCAAUGAUAAGGACAACCUAAUUGAAUUUAAUUGAAUUGUGUCUUGAUGAGUUUUACAUUUAGGACCAGGUUCUCUCUAGUCUCAAAAAUAGGGUUCAAUCUGAACUUGCAGGACAUAUUAUGGAAAGUACUUAUCCUGCUCUGUGACUUGUGUCUAGUGCGCUACCUGUGUAUGAUUUGGAAAUUAACAUUCUCAUGUAGCCUCCUUUCUCCAAUAAGGAUUUGACCUAUUCUUAAUGUUCUAAUAAGGUAAUUGACAAUAUUAUUAGUAGAAGUUGAUGGGAUAGUACUUGUUUCUUAUGUUGAAAUGGUCACAUGAUGAGGGCACUUGUAUUUUGAAAAGAAAUAUGAUGCCAGUUAAACUAUAUUCUUGCAUAUCAAAGGCUUCAGAUGCCUGAUUGAACAAAUCUUCAUCUUUAUUGUUGUUUUAUGUUUUUAGAUACAAUUUAAUAUUACUGAUGUGUAUCAAAAUAUCUAAACUCUCUUGUAUUCCUCUCUGUCUUUUUGCUCAUGUUUAACUAUCCUUGCAAUCUUUAAGGGUUUUGUUGAGUUGAAUUCAAUUAGAUAGCAUAGGACGAUAGGAGAAAGUAUUUUUCGGAACUUGGUCAAAAGAGGAAUGUGCAUCUUUUAUUUUAUUGGUUAUUCCUACAUUCAAAGAACAAUUCAUGUUGCAUCUAACAAAGGAAUUUAAGUCAUUUACCUUUAAAAAAUCAAUCCUUAUUGGUCUUGGGAAAAAAAAAAUCAGUACAAAGUCUUUUAAACUGCACUACUAAAACAUUUAGAACCAAUAUUUCAAGAUGUUGUCAAGAAAUUUAUCAAGGACUCUAAUUUUCCUUUACAUCUUAGGAGCCAAAAUUAAUUUCUUUAUUUUCUCAAAGUAUUUUAUGGGAGUAGAAUUGGGUACAUUCCUUUUUCUUUUUUUUUCUUUUUUUUCACUCUAUUCUUAGUAUGAUUUCCAAGGCAUUCUAAUUGUUUAGAUGGAACUAUAGGCCUACAUUAGGCAAAAAUGAUGUGCAAUCCCUAUCUCAACAACUAGGCUUGGAGAUCGUUGAUGAAAUUCUUUUAACUAAAUUUUUUUUUAUAAUAAUUCUGGAUUGGCUUUUGCCCGAAGUCCAGGUGAGUUUCAUGGCAUGAAAACUAGAAGGUUCUAUCCUCGUAGUUAAAGUUUCCUUUUUUUUUUUUUUAUGUUCUUUUAUUUUGCUCUUUCUUUUUCCUCCUAUGCUAAUAGUCAAGUGGUUUUUUCUUAAAUAGUUCAAAAGAGUUGUUAAAGAAUCUCUCUACGAUGCUCAAGUUUGCACUAAACAACAACUUUGUGGUUCACAACCAUGUUUUUAUGGUCCAUAGCUAUCAGUAGAAGAAAAUUUUCCAUGUAGAGAACUUCAUGAUUGGAUAUUGGAUGGUGCUUGACCAAGAAAACUUGAAGCUGGGAUGGUCUCAUUUAAAUUGUGAGUUCUAUGGCCUUUCCCAAGUCUAUGUUUAGGGAUACAUCCUAAUCUUACUAACUAUAAUGUGGCCUAUAAGUAAUAACCUCUAAUAAUUCAUAAUUUUCUUGGAAUUAUAUUUUUUUUAGUACUAAAUAACACUCUUUAUAUGCAACUAUAAUUUUGUGCAUUAAAUAUAUGUUCCUUUAAAUCAACUUUAACUCUUUGCCCCAUAAAAGUGCGUUUUCAUCCCUUAAAUCAACUUUAACUCUUUGCCCCUUAAAAACUCUCAUGACAUCUUAGGACACCUUAAUUGCAAAGGAAGAAACCAAGGCACCUCAAAUAGAGGGGAAACUAAACUUCAUAAAUCAAAAGACCAAUGAUAUUAGAUUUUUUGGUUAUCAUUCAAUUCUUCUUUUCUUUUCACAAGCAACAAUAAUUGGGUAAGGUUCACACAUGUUUUAUAAGAUGCUCUAAUAUAUGUUGAAGAUAAUAAAAAAAUGGAUAUAAAAACUUUCUUAUUAAUCUUAAGGAUUACAUGAAUAUUAUACACACUUAAUUAAAACAAAAACAAAAAAUAAUUUUUCAAAGUUACGUAUUGCUAAAUCUUACUAAUGCUACCUAAUCCAUGUUUUCCUAAACAAAUUCUGUUAUGGUUGAGCAAGGUGCUACCUUGGAUUGAUAAACUAAUUACCUAAGGUUCACAAACGAACUACCUAAGCUCCAUUAAGGUAAUACCUAAGGUUCACAAAGGUCGUACCUAAGGUGCAUUAAGGUAGUACUUAAGGUUCACUAAGAUAGUACCUUAGGUACAUUAAGGUAGUACCUAAGGGUUCUAUCGACUAACCAAUUACAAUAUAAUAAUGUCAUUAUUGCCAAUUUGUUCAGAAUUAUGGAAAGAUAAGUUAGCUACAAACUAUAAUGCUUAAGUGAGAUAAUUUUAACUAGACUCUUAAAGCAAAACAAGCCUUUCACUUGCUCAAACACACUAAAAGAAUGACACUAGUUCUUGCAAUGCCUAAUUUUGAUAAGAUUUUUGUGGUGAUAUGUGAUGUUUUUGUUAUUGGAUUAGGUCCAGUACACAUAUAAGAAGGAAGACUCAUUGCCUUUGUAAGUAAAACCUUAGGUACUACCAUAGUGAACCUUAGGUACUAUCUUAAUCAACCUUAUGUACUACCUUAAUCGACCUUAGGUAUUACCAUAGUUAAACUUGGGUAUUACUUGUGUGAAGCUUCGAAACUUCAUUUGUGAACAUUUGUGAGACUUAAUUACUUCAUUUGUGAGCCUAAGGGUCACUAAUGUAGUACCUAAGGGUUACUAAGGUAGUACCCAAGGUUCACUAAGGUAGUAUCCAAGGUUCACUAUGGUAGUACCCAAGGUUCACUAUGGUAGUACCCAAGGUUCACUAUGGUAGUACCCAAGGUAGAUUUGAGCAUGACAUUCAUUUUCUAUUGGUUUUUCCCUUUCGAACCUCAAGUAUUAGAUGUUUCAACCUUAGAUACUACCCUAGUGGAUCUUGGGUACUACCUUAGUGAGCCUUGGGUACUACCAUAAUGAGUCUUAAUUACUUCCUUAGUGGACUUUAGGUACUACCUUUAUGAACCUCAAGUACUACCUUUGUGAAUUUAUGUACUAUCUUUUCCUUAUGUGGUUCAACCUUUAAGUUGCUUGGAAAUGAAAUAUAAGGUUGUUUCUCUUUGAAAGGAAAUGGGAAAAAAGGAUAUGUUUUGUCAAUAUUUUGUAGGUUGUUCAUUCCAAACAAUUUAAUAGUGCAACACCAACUCAAGGAUUCCAUAGUGUGUUUUUUAUCACUCAUAAAUGUAAAGGUACCACAAUUCACCUAUAUAUUAUCCAUAUUAUUUAUUUAUAAAGUUUUUUUUGUCGUUAUUAGACUUUAUCGUUUGGUUGGCUUCUAGUUAAAGGGAUGAAGGUUUAUUUGUUUUAUCCCUUUUUUUCUUGGUUGUUUAGUGGUUGUCUUACACUACUUGUAUCCUUUGGUUGGGCCCUUUUUGUUUUUCUCUUUUAAUAAAGUGUUUGUUUAUCAAAAAAUAUUUCAGCAUACCAUGUUUUUGGAUUAAACUGAAAAUUUUUAUGACAAAGUGAAGGACUUAAGAAUUUGUGCAUCACAUUCUUUCCCAUAUAUUUUUUUUCUUGGAUAAAUACUCUAUGAAGCAUUUUGUAUGGUCUAUCUCAACUCUCUUUGUCACUGACUUAUGACAAUUUUGCUAUGGGAUGAAUUUAUAUGUUCUUUUUCUCAACUCUCUAAAUUUAUAUGUGGUUGUGGUGCAGAUAUAGAAUGUAAAUUUUGCUAUCUAAGGCCUAAAAAAAAAUCAUAGAAAGCUUUUGUGGUUGCUAAUUUACUCUUGCAAGAGGCACAAGAUAGGGAAAGUAUCACUUCCAUUAGUCAUUUAGGUUUCAAUGGUAGUAUAGAUUGAGUCAACCCUCUAUAUAUAAUGUGCACUUGGAAUCAAGAAGAAAAAAAAAAAGCCAAUUGGACCUGCACUUGGAAUCCAUCAAAGGAACUGUCAUCUCUCUCUAUACAUGUGUAUAAAAAGUGAAAUUGAUUUUUGAAUUCUAUAAUAUAUUAUUUCAAUGUCCAACUUGGGCAUGGCAUGUUCCUUAAUUUUCAUAUGGGUGAUAAGGACUUUCUGUAUUGCUACCAUUUAUUUGAAUUUUUAGUGAAAUAGAAAAUCAAGUUCUUAGAGAA